Molecule: ribosomal RNA, 440 nt
Filed under: uncultured bacterium
Lineage: Bacteria
Description: partial 16S ribosomal RNA
Rfam family: Bacterial small subunit ribosomal RNA
Source: RNAcentral
CCUACGGGAGGCAGCAGUAGGGAAUAUUGCUCAAUGGGGGAAACCCUGAAGCAGCAACGCCGCGUGGAGGAUGAAGGUUUUCGGAUUGUUAACUCCUUUUGUUAGAGAAGAUAAUGACGGUAUCUAACGAAUAAGCACCGUCUAACUCCGUGCCAGCAGCCGCGGUAAUACGGAGGGUGCAAGCGUUACUCGGAAUCACUGGGCGUAAAGAGCGCGUAGGCGGGAUAGCAAGUCAGAUGUGAAAUCCUAUGGCUUAACCAUAGAACUGCAUUGGAAACUGUUAUUCUAGAGUAUGGGAGAGGUAGGUGGAAUUCUUGGUGUAGGGGUAAAAUCCGUAGAGAUCAAGAAGAAUACUCAUUGCGAAGGCGACCUGCUAGAACAUAACUGACGCUGAUGCGCGAAAGCGUGGGGAGCAAACAGGAUUAGAUACCCGAGUAGUC